This 91-nucleotide small nuclear RNA is filed under the name Vulpes vulpes (red fox). The record is from RNAcentral. Lineage: Eukaryota; Metazoa; Chordata; Mammalia; Carnivora; Canidae.
GUGCUCCAUUUGGCAGCGCGUAUACUGAAAUUGGAACGAUACAGAGAUUAGCAUGGCCCCAGGACACAUUUGUGAAGCGUUCUAUUAAAAA